Molecule: unclassified non-coding RNA, 317 nt
Filed under: uncultured fungus
Lineage: Eukaryota; Fungi
Description: sequence contains 5.8S rRNA gene
Source: RNAcentral
GAACGCACCUUGCGCCCUUUGGCUAUUCCGAAGGGCAUGCCUGUUUGAGUAUCAUGAACACCUCAACUCUCAUGGUUUGCCGUGAUGAGCUUGGACUAUGGGGGUCUUGCUGGCCUGUGGUCAGCUCCUCUCAAAUGAAUCAGCUUGCCAGUGUUUGGUGGCAUCACAGGUGUGAUAACUAUCUACGCUUGUGGUUUUUCCACCAGGUAACCUUCAGCAGUGAAGGUUCACUGGAGCUCAUAGACGUCUCUCCUCAGUGAGGACAGCCCUUUGAAUGUUUGAUCUCAAAUCAGGUAGGACUACCCGCUGAACUUAAG